This 82-nucleotide transfer RNA is filed under the name Planctomycetota bacterium. RNAcentral describes it as "tRNA-Leu". It matches the Rfam family "tRNA". From Rfam's summary of the family: Transfer RNA (tRNA) molecules are approximately 80 nucleotides in length. Their secondary structure includes four short double-helical elements and three loops (D, anti-codon, and T loops). RNAcentral also lists the same sequence under 2 other names. Lineage: Bacteria; Pseudomonadati; Planctomycetota. The record is from RNAcentral.
GCGGGCGUGGCGGAAUUGGCAGACGCGCUGGUUUUAGGUACCAGUGGGGCAACCCGUGGAGGUUCGAGUCCUCCCGUCCGCA